Molecule: ribosomal RNA, 420 nt
Filed under: uncultured Chroococcidiopsis sp.
Lineage: Bacteria; Bacillati; Cyanobacteriota; Cyanophyceae; Chroococcidiopsidales; Chroococcidiopsidaceae
Description: bacterial SSU rRNA
Rfam family: Bacterial small subunit ribosomal RNA
Source: RNAcentral
GGGGAAUUUUCCGCAAUGGGCGAAAGCCUGACGGAGCAAUACCGCGUGAGGGAGGAAGGCUCUAGGGUUGUAAACCUCUUUUCUCAGGGAAGAACAAAAUGACGGUACCUGAGGAAUAAGCAUCGGCUAACUCCGUGCCAGCAGCCGCGGUAAUACGGAGGAUGCAAGCGUUAUCCGGAUUUAUUGGGCGUAAAGCGUCCGCAGGUGGCAGUUCAAGUCUGCUGUCAAAGGUCGGGGCUUAACCCCGAACAGGCAGUGGAAACUGAACAGCUAGAGUACGGUAGGGGCAGAGGGAAUUCCCAGUGUAGCGGUGAAAUGCGUAGAGAUUGGGAAGAACACCGGUGGCGAAAGCGCUCUGCUAGGCCGAAACUGACACUCAUGGACGAAAGCUAGGGGAGCGAAUGGGAUUAGAUACCCCAG